RNAcentral lists this ribosomal RNA (497 nucleotides) under uncultured bacterium. Its description in RNAcentral is "partial 16S ribosomal RNA". It matches the Rfam family "Bacterial small subunit ribosomal RNA", at positions 28 to 507 of the family's 1533-position model. The record is from RNAcentral.
GAUGAACGCUGGCGGCGUGCCUAAUACAUGCAAGUCGAGCGAACGGACGAGAAGCUUGCUUCUCUGAUGUUAGCGGCGGACGGGUGAGUAACACGUGGAUAACCUACCUAUAAGACUGGGAUAACUUCGGGAAACCGUAGCUAAUACCGGAUAAUAUUUUGAACCGCAUGGUUCAAAAGUGAAAGACGGUCUUGCUGUCACUUAUAGAUGGAUCCGCGCUGCAUUAGCUAGUUGGUAAGGUAACGGCUUACCAAGGCAACGAUGCAUAGCCGACCUGAGAGGGUGAUCGGCCACACUGGAACUGAGACACGGUCCAGACUCCUACGGGAGGCAGCAGUAGGGAAUCUUCCGCAAUGGGCGAAAGCCUGACGGAGCAACGCCGCGUGAGUGAUGAAGGUCUUCGGAUCGUUAAACUCUGUUAUUAGGGAAGAACAUAUGUGUAAGUAACUGUGCACAUCUUGACGGUACCUAAUCAGAAAGCCACGGCUAACUACGUG